RNAcentral lists this unclassified non-coding RNA (237 nucleotides) under Hevea brasiliensis (rubber tree). Lineage: Eukaryota; Viridiplantae; Streptophyta; Magnoliopsida; Malpighiales; Euphorbiaceae. The record is from RNAcentral.
AGCGGGACCUCGCCAUGGGCAAGUUCGACUGGGACCACCCGAUCCAUCUCCAACCAAUGAGCCCGACUGCUGUGAAGGAGCUGACUGUGACCUGGGAUGCGUAUGAGGCGACCAAGGAUGCUCAUGGAGUUUGUAUACUGACCGAGUGGGAUGAGUUCAAGCAGCUCGACUACCAAAAGAUCUAUAACAACAUGCAGAAGCCUGCAUUUAUAUUCGAUGGGCGCAAUGUGGUGGACG